RNAcentral lists this ribosomal RNA (207 nucleotides) under uncultured bacterium. Its description in RNAcentral is "partial 16S ribosomal RNA". It matches the Rfam family "Bacterial small subunit ribosomal RNA", at positions 133 to 334 of the family's 1533-position model. The record is from RNAcentral.
GGUGGUGGGGGAGUACGGCCGGGCUAACGCCCCGGGGUAAUACCGCAUACGGUUGCCGAGGGGAGUCCCUUGGCAAAGAAACCUCCGGGGCACAGAGAGGGGCUCGCGGCCUAUCAGCUAGUUGGUGAGGUAAUGGCUCACCAAGGCGAUGAUCGGUAUCCGGCCUGAGAGGGCGCACGGACACACUGGAACUGAAACACGGUCCAG